AGAGUUUGAUCCUGGCUCAGGGCUAACGCUGGCGGCGUGUCUUAGCCAUGCAAGUCGAGCGGACUUAUGGGGUAACUUAUAAGUCAGCGGCGGACGGCGGAGUAACACGUAGCUAACCUACCCUCUGGACGGGGAUAACCUACCGAAAGGUGGGCUAAUACCCGAUGUAGUCAUCCUGUAUAGGGGUGAUGAAAGGUGGGCUUCUGUUUACAAGCUCAUGCUGGAGGAGGGGGCUGCGGCCUAUCAGGUAGUUGGUAGGGUAAUAGCCUACCAAGCCGAUGACGGGUAGCCGGCCUGAGAGGGUGACCGGCCCGAGGGGCACUGAGAUACGGGUCCCACUCCUACGGGAGGCAGCAGGCUAGAAAUUUGGGCAGUGGGGGAAACCCUGACCCAGUGACGCCGCGUGCAGGAAGGAGCCCUUCGGGGUGUAAACUGCUGUCGUGUAGGGAGAAGGGUACUAAGGUGAACAAUCUUAGUACUUGACGGUACUACAGGAGGAAGCCCAGGCUAACCUCGUGCCAGCAGCCGCGGUAAUACGGGGUGGGCGAGCGUUGCCCGGAAUUACUGGGUUUAAAGGGGGUGUAGGCGGUCUGGAUAGUCGGGUGUGUAAUGCAAUCGCUCAACGAUUGAGCUGCAUCUGAUACUUCCAGGCUAGAGGGCGGUAGAGGAGAGCGGAACUCCCGGUGUAGCGGUGAAAUGCGUAGAUAUCGGGAGGAACGCCGGUGGCGAAGGCGGCUCUCUGGGCCGUUCCUGACGCUGAGGCCCGAAAGCUGGGGGAGCGAAAGGGAUUAGAUACCCCUGUAGUCCCAGCCGUAAACGAUGGGCACUAGGUGUACCUUUUAACGGAGGUAUACCGUCGGGAAACCAAUAAGUGCCCCACCUGGGGAGUACGCCCGCAAGGGUGAAACUCAAAUGAAUUGACGG
RNAcentral lists this ribosomal RNA (924 nucleotides) under bacterium enrichment culture clone L55B-111. Its description in RNAcentral is "bacterial SSU rRNA". It matches the Rfam family "Bacterial small subunit ribosomal RNA", at positions 8 to 916 of the family's 1533-position model. The record is from RNAcentral.